Molecule: ribosomal RNA, 514 nt
Filed under: Limosilactobacillus fermentum
Lineage: Bacteria; Bacillati; Bacillota; Bacilli; Lactobacillales; Lactobacillaceae
Description: bacterial SSU rRNA
Source: RNAcentral
GGCAGUCGAACGCGUUGGCCCAAUUGAUUGAYGGUGCUUGCAYCUGAUUGAUUUUGGUCGCCAACGAGUGGCGGACGGGUGAGUAACACGUAGGUAACCUGCCCAGAAGCGGGGGACAACAUUUGGAAACAGAUGCUAAUACCGCAUAACARCGUUGUUCGCAUGAACAACRCUUAAAAGAUGGCUUCUCGCUAUCACUUCUGGAUGGACCUGCGGUGCAUUAGCUUGUUGGUGGGGUAAYGGCCUACCAAGGCGAUGAUGCAUAGCCGAGUUGAGAGACUGAUCGGCCACAAUGGGACUGAGACACGGCCCAUACUCCUACGGGAGGCAGCAGUAGGGAAUCUUCCACAAUGGGCGCAAGCCUGAUGGAGCAACACCGCGUGAGUGAAGAAGGGUUUCGGCUCGUAAAGCUCUGUUGUUAAAGAAGAACACGUAUGAGAGUAACUGUUCAUACGUUGACGGUAUUUAACCAGAAAGUCACGGCUAACUACGUGCCAGCAGCCGGCGGUAAUAA